UACGGAGGGGGACAAAUGUUGUUCGGAAUCACUGGGCGUAAAGGGAGCGUAGGUCGGGUUUUUAAGUCAGGUGUUUAAGUCCCGGGGCCCAACCCCGGACCGGCACUUGAAACUGGGAAUCUUGAAUAGUGGAGAGGUCAGUGGAAUUGGGGGUGUAGCGGUGGAAUGCGUAGAGAUCCCCAAGAACACCAGUUGCGAAGGCGGCUGACUGGACACAUAUUGACGCUGAGGCUCGAAAGCAUGGGGAGC
Molecule: ribosomal RNA, 249 nt
Filed under: uncultured bacterium
Lineage: Bacteria
Description: partial 16S ribosomal RNA
Rfam family: Bacterial small subunit ribosomal RNA
Source: RNAcentral